RNAcentral lists this ribosomal RNA (491 nucleotides) under uncultured bacterium. Its description in RNAcentral is "bacterial SSU rRNA". It matches the Rfam family "Bacterial small subunit ribosomal RNA", at positions 19 to 518 of the family's 1533-position model. The record is from RNAcentral.
CUGGCUCAGGAUGAACGCUGGCGGCGUGCUUAACACAUGCAAGUCGAACGGGGAACCAUUGUAGCAAUAUAGGUGGUUCUUAGUGGCGGACGGGUGAGUAACGCGUGAGGAACCUGCCUUGGAGAGGGGAAUAACACAUUGAAAGAUGUGCUAAUACCGCAUGAUAUAUCAAUUUCGCAUGGGAUUGAUAUCAAAGAUUAAUCGCUCUGAGAUGGCCUCGCGUCUGAUUAGCUAGUAGGUGGGGUAAUGGCCCACCUAGGCGACGAUCAGUAGCCGGACUGAGAGGUUGACCGGCCACAUUGGGACUGAGAUACGGCCCAGACUCCUACGGGAGGCAGCAGUGGGGAAUAUUGGGCAAUGGGCGCAAAGCCUGACCCAGCAACGCCGCGUGAAGGAAGAAGGCCCUCGGGUUGUAAACUUCUUUUAAGAGGGACGAAAGAAAUGACGGUACCUCUUGAAUAAGCCACGGCUAACUACGUGCCAGCCGCUGC